UAGGGAAUCUUCGGCAAUGGACGAAAGUCUGAUGGAGCAACACCGCGUGAGUGAAGAAGGGUUUCGGCUCGUAAAGCUCUGUUGUUAAAGAAGAACACGUAUGAGAGUAACUGUUCAUACGUUGACGGUAUUUAACCAGAAAGUCACGGCUAACUACGUGCAG
RNAcentral lists this ribosomal RNA (163 nucleotides) under uncultured bacterium. RNAcentral's name for it is "partial 16S ribosomal RNA". It matches the Rfam family "Bacterial small subunit ribosomal RNA", at positions 355 to 510 of the family's 1533-position model. The record is from RNAcentral.